This 1270-nucleotide long non-coding RNA is filed under the name Oreochromis niloticus (Nile tilapia). Its description in RNAcentral is "lncRNA (ENSONIG00000042311.1)". Lineage: Eukaryota; Metazoa; Chordata; Actinopteri; Cichliformes; Cichlidae. The record is from RNAcentral.
AUGAAAAGGAGAUGGACCUCACAACAUCUUUAUUUAUCUCAAUGUAUCAAAUUAAACAGGAGAGGGAUUGUGUUUGAUUGUGGUGGACCAAAACCCAGACUACUGACCAAUACGCGUUUUGAAUCGGGCUUCGAAGGAUCAGAUUCAAAGUGAUGGAGUGGAGAAGGGAAGGAGGCAGAUCUCUGUGGGUUGGAAGACUUUGUGAGUUGUGAAAGAUUUUUGCCAGAGGACAGCCAAGUGGAUGGCAUCUGUGGUCAGCAAGGCAUUGCCUUUAUUUCCUUGGAUCAAAGUUAGCCAGGACUUGGUCUGUUUAAAGUAGGCUUUCUAAAACUCUAACUUGGCAGCUUUUAACUUGGAAUAAUAAAAAUACAUCUGAUUUGUAAUGCACCUUUCAUACAAAAAUGCAGCUUUGUUGCCAUGUUCCCAGUGAGCAGACAUUUCUGAACCACAGUUUUUGUUAUGUGUACCCUUGUGGGUCACAUGUAAUUUUGAAUAGCUAAAGACAAGAUGGAACUUAAAAAUAUACGAACGGCUUCCUGCCGACUGAAGAAUUCAGGUCAGCUGCUUACAUGGGAUGUGAUUUUAUUCUAGUCUUGUAUUUAAAUGUCCCAUCACAUUCAAUCAGAACAGUGUUAAAUGCUUUGCAUGAUUCAUGGUUCAAAAUGAUCCUUAUUUUUCAGUCCUUCAGUUCAUUCUGUCUGAAAUAAGCUGUUUUAGCUCCUAUCCUUUACGACCCCUCUCCCUUUAAUCCAGCUUUGUGCUGAUUAAUUGCAAGAGGCAACCAAGGUGGGGAGUCGGGGGCAAUUUAGACUCUCUAAUUAACUUAACAAGCAAAGAGAAGAAGCCAAAGUGCCUGGAAAGAGCUCCCCCAUGCACUGGGAGAACAUUGAAACUCCAUAAAGAAGGCCUCCUCAACUAAAAACGGUCUUGUUAUGAGGGAACAGCACCAACUACCACUGCUACAUUAUUAAAACUUUGCCCAGGGUUCAUGUUAGCACCCUCAAAAGGAAAAGCACAACAUGUAAGAUUUUACAUUGAAAACAAACAGCAGUGAAUCACAUUAAAGCUCUUGUGUGGUUGAAUUCUUCUUUGAAUCUGUUUUUGAAAACAUUUACUCCAUUGCAUUGAAAUUCCAGCUGUUUAUUCAGAUUUAGGUGUUUGUAUGGAGCAUUUUUUUAAUCUUGUGUUUGGUUUUUAAAGUGAUUAGAAUCGUUAUACCACGCACCAUGUAAAUGUAGCUAUUCUUCUACCAGCCGCAGGCCUUUUAUUU